UGGGGUUCGACGACAACAA
This 19-nucleotide small nuclear RNA is filed under the name Arabidopsis thaliana (thale cress). RNAcentral's name for it is "snRNA_06305". The record is from RNAcentral. Lineage: Eukaryota; Viridiplantae; Streptophyta; Magnoliopsida; Brassicales; Brassicaceae.